CGCAUGUAGUGGCGGUGGAAAGUUUUUCGGUUGGGGAUGGGCUCGCGGCCUAUCAGCUUGUUGGUGGGGUGAUGGCCUACCAAGGCGACGACGGGUAACCGGCCUGAGAGGGCGACCGGUCACACUGGGACUGAGACACGGCCCAGACUCCUACGGGAGGCAGCAGUGGGGAAUAUUGCGCAAUGGGCGGAAGCCUGACGCAGCGACGCCGCGUGGGGGAUGACGGCCUUCGGGUUGUAAACCUCUUUCAGCAGGGACGAAGCUAACGUGACGGUACCUGCAGAAGAAGCGCCGGCUAACUACGUGCCAGCAGCCGCGGUAAUACGUAGGGCGCAAGCGUUGUCCGGAAUUAUUGGGCGUAAAGAGCUCGUAGGCGGUUUGUCGCGUCUGUCGUGAAAGCCCACGGCUUAACCGUGGGUCUGCGGUGGAUACGGGCAGACUAGAGGCAGGUAGGGGAUAAUGGRAUUCCCGGUGUAGCG
Molecule: ribosomal RNA, 479 nt
Filed under: Actinomadura sp. CAP 48
Lineage: Bacteria; Bacillati; Actinomycetota; Actinomycetes; Streptosporangiales; Thermomonosporaceae
Description: bacterial SSU rRNA
Rfam family: Bacterial small subunit ribosomal RNA
Source: RNAcentral